This is a long non-coding RNA of Hypomesus transpacificus, 408 nucleotides long. RefSeq lists it as uncharacterized. NCBI's taxonomy places the organism in Eukaryota, Metazoa, Chordata, Actinopteri, Osmeriformes, Osmeridae. The transcript is spliced from 4 exons. The record is from RefSeq and is a predicted model, not a curated record.
ACCAGUGAGCAGUUUCUGCAGAGGCAGUCAAGCAUGUGGACAUGAACAGAAGUUUUGAUACGGAUUCAUUGUUUCGGUGGGAGUUCAUUUUAACUCAAGGACUUCAAGUUACUUUCGGAUUAUGAGGAUACCUUGUGCGUUUGUUUAUGAAUCUCACGGGGCUGAAGUCUUAAUACCUUUGAGGAGACAUAUUGCAUCGCACACUUGAUAAAAAGUAACAGGUUGACAUACGCAUUUAGUUUUUCAAGAAGCUAGAGAAGCAUUAGGAGCAUGUGUGGAGUGUGUGUCUGGAGCCUCAGAGUCUCCAUACUCCUGCUCUUUAGGCUAUACACACUGGACUGCCAGCUUGCAACAGACCACAGAAAGGUCCCUCAGAGGGCAGAGACCCACCAAGGAGCUGUAGCCGGC